RNAcentral lists this ribosomal RNA (424 nucleotides) under uncultured bacterium. RNAcentral describes it as "bacterial SSU rRNA". It matches the Rfam family "Bacterial small subunit ribosomal RNA", at positions 355 to 786 of the family's 1533-position model. The record is from RNAcentral.
UGGGGAAUAUUGCGCAAUGGGCGAAAGCCUGACGCAGCGACGCCGCGUGGGGGAUGAAGGCCUUCGGGUUGUAAAACCCCUUUCAGUCAGGGAGCGAAGCAGAAAGAUGACGGUACCUGCAGAAGAAGCGCCGGCUAACUACGUGCCAGCAGCCGCGGUAACACGUAGGGCGCAAGCGUUGUCCGGAUUUAUUGGGCGUAAAGAGCUCGUAGGCGGUUUGUCGCGUCGGCCGUGAAAUCUCCACGCUUAACGUGGAGCGUGCGGUCGAUACGGGCAGACUUGAGUUCGGUAGGGGAGACUGGAAUUCCUGGUGUAGCGGUGAAAUGCGCAGAUAUCAGGAGGAACACCGAUGGCGAAGGCAGGUCUCUGGGCAUUAACUGACGCUGAGGAGCGAAAGCAUGGGGAGCGAACAGGAUUAGAUACC